RNAcentral lists this unclassified non-coding RNA (240 nucleotides) under Hevea brasiliensis (rubber tree). Lineage: Eukaryota; Viridiplantae; Streptophyta; Magnoliopsida; Malpighiales; Euphorbiaceae. The record is from RNAcentral.
UUUGGAGUGCCAUCCGGUGUUCCACGUUAGUCUCCUUAAACCUUACCACGCAGAUGAAGAGGACCCGGCCAGGAAUAAAUCUAAACGGGCACCAGUAGCUAUAACGAGGAGUUUUGAGCAUGAACCCGAAGAGAUUUUGAUGCACCGAGUGGUUCCACAGUGGGGCGCUCAUCCUGGAUACACCGAGUACUUGGUAAGAUGGAAAGGUCGUGCGGUUGAGGAGACUAGUUGGGAACACGA